This 395-nucleotide ribosomal RNA is filed under the name uncultured bacterium. RNAcentral's name for it is "partial 16S ribosomal RNA". It matches the Rfam family "Bacterial small subunit ribosomal RNA", at positions 523 to 918 of the family's 1533-position model. The record is from RNAcentral.
AUACGUAGGGUGCGAGCGUUAAUCGGAAUUACUGGGCGUAAAGCGUGCGCAGGCGGUUUUGUAAGACAGUGGUGAAAUCCCCGGGCUCAACCUGGGAACUGCCAUUGUGACUGCAAGGCUGGAGUGCGGCAGAGGGGGAUGGAAUUCCGCGUGUAGCAGUGAAAUGCGUAGAUAUGCGGAGGAACACCGAUGGCGAAGGCAAUCCCCUGGGCCUGCACUGACGCUCAUGCACGAAAGCGUGGGGAGCAAACAGGAUUAGAUACCCUGGUAGUCCACGCCCUAAACGAUGUCAACUGGUUGUUGGGAAUUUAUUUUCUCAGUAACGAAGCUAACGCGUGAAGUUGACCGCCUGGGGAGUACGGCCGCAAGGUUAAAACUCAAAUGAAUUGACGGGG